RNAcentral lists this ribosomal RNA (475 nucleotides) under Mesorhizobium sp. M00.F.Ca.ET.149.01.1.1. RNAcentral describes it as "partial 23S ribosomal RNA". It matches the Rfam family "Bacterial large subunit ribosomal RNA", at positions 1299 to 1880 of the family's 2925-position model. The record is from RNAcentral. Lineage: Bacteria; Pseudomonadati; Pseudomonadota; Alphaproteobacteria; Hyphomicrobiales; Phyllobacteriaceae.
GACAUGAGUAACGUAAGGGGAGUGAGAGACUCCCCCGCCGAAAGACCAAGGGUUCCUGCUUAAAGUUAAUCUGAGCAGGGUUAGCCGGCCCCUAAGACGAGGCGGAAACGCGUAGUCGAUGGGAACCACGUUAAUAUUCGUGGGCCUGGAGGUAGUGACGGAUCACACAAGUUGUCCAAUCUUAUCGGAUUGAAAGGGCAGCGGAGUGGUUCCAGGAAAUAGCUCCUCCUUAUAGACCGUACCCGAAACCGACACUGGUGGUCAGGUAGAGUAUACCAAGGCGCUUGAGAGAACUAUGCUGAAGGAACUCGGCAAAUUGCACGCGUAACUUCGGAAGAAGCGUGACCCUUUUCUGCGCAAGCAGAGGAGGGUGGCACAGACCAGGGGGUAGCGACUGUUUAUCAAAAACACAGGGCUCUGCGAAGCCGCAAGGCGACGUAUAGGGUCUGACGCCUGCCCGGUGCUGGAAGGUUAA